Molecule: ribosomal RNA, 585 nt
Filed under: uncultured bacterium
Lineage: Bacteria
Description: bacterial SSU rRNA
Rfam family: Bacterial small subunit ribosomal RNA
Source: RNAcentral
CCUACGGGAGGCAGCAGUGGGGAAUUUUGGACAAUGGGCGCAAGCCUGAUCCAGCCAUGCCGCGUGCAGGAUGAAGGCCUUCGGGUUGUAAACUGCUUUUGUACGGAACGAAAAGACUCCUUCUAAUAAAGGGGGUCCAUGACGGUACCGUAAGAAUAAGCACCGGCUAACUACGUGCCAGCAGCCGCGGUAAUACGUAGGGUGCGAGCGUUAAUCGGAAUUACUGGGCGUAAAGCGUGCGCAGGCGGUUAUAUAAGACAGAUGUGAAAUCCCCGGGCUCAACCUGGGAACUGCAUUUGUGACUGUAUAGCUAGAGUACGGUAGAGGGGGAUGGAAUUCCGCGUGUAGCAGUGAAAUGCGUAGAUAUGCGGAGGAACACCGAUGGCGAAGGCAAUCCCCUGGACCUGUACUGACGCUCAUGCACGAAAGCGUGGGGAGCAAACAGGAUUAGAUACCCUGGUAGUCCACGCCCUAAACGAUGUCAACUGGUUGUUGGGUCUUCACUGACUCAGUAACGAAGCUAACGCGUGAAGUUGACCGCCUGGGGAGUACGGCCGCAAGGUUGAAACUCAAAUGAAUUGACGG